GGGAAUGUGGCUUAGUGGUAGAGCGCUUGCCUAGCAUGCAAGAAGCCCUGGGUUCGGUUCCUCAGUACCA
RNAcentral lists this transfer RNA (70 nucleotides) under Dipodomys ordii (Ord's kangaroo rat). It matches the Rfam family "tRNA". From Rfam's summary of the family: Transfer RNA (tRNA) molecules are approximately 80 nucleotides in length. Lineage: Eukaryota; Metazoa; Chordata; Mammalia; Rodentia; Heteromyidae. The record is from Rfam by way of RNAcentral.